This 406-nucleotide ribosomal RNA is filed under the name uncultured bacterium. RNAcentral describes it as "partial 16S ribosomal RNA". It matches the Rfam family "Bacterial small subunit ribosomal RNA", at positions 30 to 526 of the family's 1533-position model. The record is from RNAcentral.
AUUGAACGCUGGCGGCAGGCCUAACACAUGCAAGUCGAACGAGUGGCGUACGGGUGAGUAAUGUCUGGGAAACUGCCUGAUGGAGGGGGAUAACUACUGGAAACGGUAGCUAAUACCGCAUACCAUCGGAUGUGCCCAGAUGGGAUUAGCUAGGGGGUGGGGUAAAGGCUCACCUAGGAGACGAUCCCUAUCUGGUCUGAGAGGAUGAGCAGACACACUGGAACUGAGACACGGUCCAGACUCCUACGGGAGGCAGCAGUGGGGAAUAUUGAACAAUGGGCGAAAGCCUGAUGCAGCCAUGCCGCGUGUAUGAAGAAGGCCUUCGGGUUGUAAAGUACUUUCAGCGGGGAGGCGUUACCCGCAGAAGAAGCACCGGCUAACUCCGUGCCAGCAGCCGCGGUAAUUC